UCUAUAAGCCGCUUAAAAAUUACCCUCUAACCGAAGAGUGUUAGAUAGCGUCGAAGGACAAGAAGACCCUAUAGAGCUUAAUUUAAAUAAAUAUAAAAAAUUUACUAAAAUUCGGUUGGGGCGACCAGGGAAUUACCCAUCAUCCCUAAGCAAAAGAUAAAUAUAUCAAAAUACUGACCCUUCUACAAGAUCAUUAAAACAAGCUACCUUAGGGAUAACAGGCUAAUCUCACUAGAGAGUCCUUAUCAAUAGUGGGGAUUGGCACCUCGAUGUUGGCUUAGGGAAUCUCUAUAACGCAAAAGUUAUAUAAAGAUGGUUUGUUCAACCAAUAACACCCUACAUGAGCUGAGUUCAGACCGGCGUAAGCCAGGUUAGUUUCUAUCCUCGAUCACUCUAUCUAUUUAUAGUACGAAAGGACCUAAUUAGAGUAAUAUUUACAUACAGGGAAUAAAUAUAAACCAUUCUAAAUAAAAUAAAUCUUAAACUAUGAGUAAGUUGGCAGAAUAUUGCCACC
This 514-nucleotide ribosomal RNA is filed under the name Lumbricus terrestris (common earthworm). RNAcentral's name for it is "partial large subunit ribosomal RNA". The stretch from base 50 to 389 matches the Rfam family "Bacterial large subunit ribosomal RNA", at positions 2072 to 2648 of the family's 2925-position model. The record is from RNAcentral. Lineage: Eukaryota; Metazoa; Annelida; Clitellata; Crassiclitellata; Lumbricidae.